RNAcentral lists this long non-coding RNA (368 nucleotides) under Lathyrus oleraceus (garden pea). RNAcentral's name for it is "Pisum sativum (pea) long non-coding RNA (PSAT_LNC011978)". The record is from RNAcentral. Lineage: Eukaryota; Viridiplantae; Streptophyta; Magnoliopsida; Fabales; Fabaceae.
UGAUGAUGAGGAUAUUGAUGAUGAGGCUACCGGUUCUGAAGCCGGUAGUGAAGAGGAGUCUUGAGCCCUUUGUGGGUUAAGUUUUUGAGUAUUUGUAUUUCAGUUUUUAUUAUGUCAUUUUUAUUUGUACUUUCGAAUUUUGUAUUUUGACCAUGGGUUGUACUAUUGGGGUGUUUUGUCCCCCACGAACAAAAUUUUAUUUUUCAGUUAAUGUUAUUUAUGUUUGUUGUUAAUUUUGUGUGUUUAAUAAAUUUUUGGUUGAAUGAGUGGCAAACCCUUCUAGAUUGGUUGCUCCUCAAGAAGUACCCAAUGAAGGUGCAUCCGAGCUUGGAUGGCAAUGAUAAGAAUAACAAGUGAAUGAAGCUAAG